This 301-nucleotide ribosomal RNA is filed under the name uncultured bacterium. Its description in RNAcentral is "partial 16S ribosomal RNA". It matches the Rfam family "Bacterial small subunit ribosomal RNA", at positions 509 to 807 of the family's 1533-position model. The record is from RNAcentral.
CAGUCGCCGCGGGAAUACAGAGGAUGCAAGCGUUAUCCGGAAUGAUUGGGCGUAAAGCGUCUGUAGGUGGCUUUUUAAGUCCGCCGUCAAAUCCCAGGGCUCAACCCUGGACAGGCGGUGGAAACUACCAAGCUGGAGUACGGUAGGGGCAGAGGGAAUUUCCGGUGGAGCGGUGAAAUGCGUCGAGAUCGGAAAGAACACCAACGGCGAGAGCACUCUGCUGGGCCGACACUGACACUGAGAGACGAAAGCUAGGGGAGCAAAUGGGAUUAGAUACCCCCGUAGUCCCUGUCUCUUAUAC